This 253-nucleotide ribosomal RNA is filed under the name uncultured bacterium. RNAcentral describes it as "partial 16S ribosomal RNA". It matches the Rfam family "Bacterial small subunit ribosomal RNA", at positions 524 to 776 of the family's 1533-position model. The record is from RNAcentral.
UACGAAGGGGGCUAGCGUUGCUCGGAAUCACUGGGCGUAAAGGGCGCGUAGGCGGACUCUUAAGUCGGGGGUGAAAGCCCAGGGCUCAACCCUGGAAUUGCCUUCGAUACUGAGAGUCUUGAGUUCGGAAGAGGUUGGUGGAACUGCGAGUGUAGAGGUGAAAUUCGUAGAUAUUCGCAAGAACACCAGUGGCGAAGGCGGCUCACUGGCCCGGUACUGACGCUGAGGUGCGAAAGCGUGGGGAGCAAACAGG